RNAcentral lists this ribosomal RNA (506 nucleotides) under uncultured bacterium. Its description in RNAcentral is "partial 16S ribosomal RNA". It matches the Rfam family "Bacterial small subunit ribosomal RNA", at positions 30 to 523 of the family's 1533-position model. The record is from RNAcentral.
AUUGAACGCUGGCGGCAGGCCUAACACAUGCAAGUCGAACGGUAACAGGAAGAAGCUUGCUUCUUCGCUGACGAGUGGCGGACGGGUGAGUAAUGUCUGGGAAGCUGCCUGAUGGAGGGGGAUAACUACUGGAAACGGUAGCUAAUACCGCAUAACGACGCAAGACCAAAGAGGGGGACCUUCGGGCCUCUUGCCAUCGGAUGUGCCCAGAUGGGAUUAGCUAGUAGGUGGGGUAACGGCUCACCUAGGCGACGAUCCCUAGCUGGUCUGAGAGGAUGACCAGCCACACUGGAACUGAGACACGGUCCAGACUCCUACGGGAGGCAGCAGUGGGGAAUAUUGCACAAUGGGCGCAAGCCUGAUGCAGCCAUGCCGCGUGUAUGAAGAAGGCCUUCGGGUUGUAAAGUACUUUCAGCGGGGAGGAAGGGAGUAAGGUUAAUACCUUUGCUCAUUGACGUUACCCGCAGAAGAAGCACCGGCUAACUCCGUGCCAGCAGCCGCGGUAA